AGCCCUUUGUCGCUAAGAUUC
Molecule: small nuclear RNA, 21 nt
Filed under: Arabidopsis thaliana (thale cress)
Lineage: Eukaryota; Viridiplantae; Streptophyta; Magnoliopsida; Brassicales; Brassicaceae
Description: snRNA_00084
Source: RNAcentral